This 775-nucleotide ribosomal RNA is filed under the name uncultured Neocallimastigales. RNAcentral describes it as "partial large subunit ribosomal RNA". It matches the Rfam family "Eukaryotic large subunit ribosomal RNA", at positions 20 to 616 of the family's 3401-position model. Lineage: Eukaryota; Fungi; Neocallimastigomycota; Neocallimastigomycetes; Neocallimastigales. The record is from RNAcentral.
UACUAGAGUAGCACUCGCAUAUCAAUAAGCGGAGGAAAAGAAACUAACAAGGAUUCCCCUAGUAACGGCGAGUGAAGCGGGAAGAGCUCAAAUUUGAAAUCUUAAAGGGUUUCCCUUUACGAAUUGUAGUUUAAAGAAGUGUUUUCUGUUGAGGUUUUGGUAAAAGUUCUUUGGAAUAGGACAUCAUAGAGGGUGAGAAUCCCGUAUUUGACCUUUACUUUCAACUUUGUGAUACACUUUCAAAGAGUCGGAUUGUUUGGGAAUGCAGUCCAAAAUGGGUGGUAAAUUUCAUCUAAAGCUAAAUAUUGGCGAGAGACCGAUAGCGAACAAGUACCGUGAGGGAAAGAUGAAAAGAACUUUGAAAAGAGAGUUAAACAGUACGUGAAAUUGUCAAAAGGGAAGCGUUUGACACCAGUGUUGUUUUUCUGAAAAUCAAUUAAAGAACUGUUUAUGCUAAGUUGUUUAGACUUUAUCAGCUAACUGUUUAGUUUUGAGCUUUUCUUUAAUGCACUUUUCAGUUAACAAGUCAACAUCAAUUUCUUUUGCUGUAAAAAAGCUUGAGGAAGGUGGCUUGAGAUUCGUCUUAAGUGUUUAUAGCCUCUUGCCUAUGCAGUCGGAGAGAUUGAGGGUCUGCAGCGUAGAUCCUUCGGGGCUAAAUGCAUUUGUGCUAAGUUAUAGCAUUUUAUAGACAACUUGUUGACUAUGAUUUGUCUUGUAGCUUACUCGCUUAUGUUAUUUUACCUACGCUUAGGAUGUUGAGCGCAUGUCUCUCUCU